RNAcentral lists this ribosomal RNA (253 nucleotides) under uncultured bacterium. RNAcentral's name for it is "partial 16S ribosomal RNA". It matches the Rfam family "Bacterial small subunit ribosomal RNA", at positions 524 to 776 of the family's 1533-position model. The record is from RNAcentral.
UACGAAGGGGGCUAGCGUUGUUCGGAAUUACUGGGCGUAAAGCGCGCGCAGGCGGUCUUCCAAGUCAGUGGUGAAAGCCCGGAGCUCAACUCCGGAACUGCCAUUGAAACUGUAAGACUUGAGGAUGAGGGAGGUGAGUGGAAUUCCCAGUGUAGAGGUGAAAUUCGUAGAUAUUGGGAAGAACACCGGUGGCGAAGGCGGCUCACUGGCUCAUUUCUGACGCUCAGGCGCGACAGCGUGGGGAUCAAACAGG